GCAGAAAAUUAUAAUUACAGGCCAGUAUCAAUUCACACAGUUAGAUGCAAAUAUAUUUGUAUCUAUGUCUACAUCUACAUAUAAAAGUUAUUACAUAUAUACUAGUGGAAUGCUAUUCUAUACCUCUCAGAUGGAGUAAAAAUGAAAUUUGGUAAAACUAACUUGUGACAAGUAUGUGGACCAGCAAGAAUGCUCAUUCCUUGUUGGAGGAAGUGCAAACUAGUUCCACAUUUUGGAAUUAGCUGGGAAAUGAACUGAUGAAGUUGAAUAUGUGUAAAUUGUAUAAUGCAGCAAUUUUAAACCAAGAUGUAUCCUCCAGGGAAAUUCCUGCACGGGUGUACAAGGAUGUUAGAGAAUAGCACAUCCUGAAAUAUCACUGGUGGUAGGCAGCAUUUAAAAGGGGCCCUAGAAGUCCCAACUUCCAGGUAUUCAUGCCCUUGGGAAAUCCUUUCCCCUCAGGUGUGGGCUGGACCUAGUGCUUCACUUCCCAUGUAGAAAAUGGCAAAGAUGGUGGACUGUCACUUUUGAGAUUAGGUAACAAAAAGAAUCUGUGAUUUCUAUUUCUGUCUGGGAGCCUGUACUUUGGGGGAAGGAAGCUGCCAUGUUGUGGCCAACUUUAUACAGAGGGCCAAGUGACAAAGAACUGGUCCAUCCAUCCUAAGUCAUUGAGGCCAGGAGCCUUGUCAAAGUCUUGAGACUCACUUCUACCCUGGAAAGCACUUGGGCCCCAGCCAGCACCUUGACCCCCUGACUAGGGGCCUGUGACAGAUCUGGACUCAGAGACCUCACCACCCCAACAUUCCUGAUCUGCAGAAACUGAGAUAACAGCAAGAAAAGGAGUUUUGUUUUGUUUGCUUUGGGUUCUUUUGGCUUUGAGUUGCUAAGUGUUAGCAGUAAUUUGUCACAUAGCUGUGCAGCCCCCCCCCAACUAGAGAUAACCUAAAUGCCUGUGAGCAUUAGAAUAGAAGAAUUAAAAUAUAAUUUUAAGUCAUAAACAAUGAAAAUGAAGGAUGCAACAAAAAGUCUCAAAAAUUUAAGAAUAUGUACAGGACAACAUUCAUUAGUAUGAACAUUAAAAAAAUAAACAAAAUUAACACAUAUUUUUGGACACAUGCAGAUGUGAUACAACUAUAAAGAAAAGCUAGGGUCUGAUCACAACAAGGGCCUUGACAGAUGUCCUGUUUCAGGGAAGGAGGAGGAAUGAGCCCCCUUAACCCAUUGCGGCAUCUAAGGUGUUACAACGACCUAUUCUUGACCUACAAGAUGGUCAAGCAUUCACUUCAUUAUCCUUUCAUCUGCUCUUCCACGUUGUAUAUUCUUUUCAUUUACAAAUUUUUAAAAAAGCAAAACCAAGCGAAAAAAGAAAACUAUUGCAAUGCAAUCAAUCGAUACAUAAAUAUUUUGGAGGAUGAAAAACGGCCAGAUGGCUGGUCAGUUAGACGCAGACAUUUGUUCUUUAUGUCUAGAUAAGAGCUGUACAUCUUCCAAGUCUCCAUGAGAGUCCAGUUGACAAAGAUCUUUUUUCUCCUGUGUUGUCCUUAAGGCCUUCUCCCUCCCCUGCAGGUUGGGGCAUUCAGAGGCCAGGGCCUGCUGUUUAUCAUCUGGAAACAGAUCUGGCACUGGCUGCUUCAGCCCUAAACCCUAAACCUUCCCGAGGAAGGUUCUCUAGAAGCCGGCGUGCGCCCACCGCCACCUCCCUGAAGUCUCCCAGAAGAAGCGAUCAGAGCCCCGUGGGCGCCUAGAGCACUUGCGACAUGAGGGCUUUUACCUAGGGUGGGGGUUAAGCAGACAGAGCUGUCCUAGAAGAAUUCAAUCCGGCCUCAAGCAGGUGAGAAAGCUUCACCUCACCUUCUUCACCUUUGAUCGAUCCCAAAGGCUCCCUGCGGAGCACAAACCAAAUAUCAAGAGAAUACGGGAGUCAUCCGCCUCCAGGCAAGCAGGAGAAGUAACAAUGAGAUGGAUGUCGAGCAGAGAAGCGACACGGGGAGGAAGGAGCACCCCUGGAACAUCUCUGCCACCCUAAGGCACGCAUACAGCCCCCCAUCCGUCCCAUCCCCACCCUCCCCACCUCUCCCCACAGGACACCCCGCCCCCCGCACUGUGGCCUUUGUCACCGCAGGCCUCUUCUGGUGCAGACCUCAUCGCUGAUCGCCACUCACCCUGUGGUCCGCUGUUGCCUGCGGCGCGGGUUCGGGGCAGGCAGGACCAGCAAGGGGCGGGCAGUAGGUGUUUCCCAGUGGAAGGAGCUUUCCGCGGAGGAGGGACCGGACGGUGGACCGGAGGCUGGGCGACGUGGAAAGGAUCAGGCCUUCUGUAGGUCUGAGCCCACCAUGGGUCUCACCUGAGACACAGCUGUAUGGCUUUUGGAAGGGAAGAAUCAUUUUCCCAGUCUUUUCCAGCUUCCAAAGGCUGUCUCCAACCUCCAGCUUGGGCCUCUUUUUUCAUCAUCUC
This 2451-nucleotide long non-coding RNA is filed under the name Heterocephalus glaber (naked mole-rat). RNAcentral's name for it is "lncRNA (ENSHGLG00100051767.1)". The record is from RNAcentral. Lineage: Eukaryota; Metazoa; Chordata; Mammalia; Rodentia; Bathyergidae.